GUGGUGGCUCAGUGGUAGAGUGCUUGCCUAGCAUGUGUGAGGCACUGGGUUUGAUUCUCAGUACCACA
This 68-nucleotide transfer RNA is filed under the name Marmota monax (woodchuck). RNAcentral describes it as "tRNA.Ala". The record is from RNAcentral. Lineage: Eukaryota; Metazoa; Chordata; Mammalia; Rodentia; Sciuridae.